Molecule: ribosomal RNA, 253 nt
Filed under: uncultured bacterium
Lineage: Bacteria
Description: partial 16S ribosomal RNA
Rfam family: Bacterial small subunit ribosomal RNA
Source: RNAcentral
GACGUAGGAGGCGAGCGUUAUCCGGAUUCACUGGGCGUAAAGCGCAUGUAGGCGGUUGGACAAGUCGUGUGUUAAAGCCCCUGGCUCAACUGGGGGAGGUCAUGCGAGACUGUGCGACUUGAGGGCAAGAGAGGCACGUGGAACUCCCGGUGUAGCGGUGGAAUGCGUAGAGAUCGGGAAGAACACCAGUGGCGAAGGCGACGUGCUGGGUUGCACCUGACACUGAGGAACGAAAGCCAGGGGAGCAAACGGG